Ziziphus jujuba (common jujube) is the source of this 821-nucleotide long non-coding RNA. RefSeq lists it as uncharacterized. NCBI's taxonomy places the organism in Eukaryota, Viridiplantae, Streptophyta, Magnoliopsida, Rosales, Rhamnaceae. The transcript is spliced from 2 exons. The record is from RefSeq and is a predicted model, not a curated record.
GCCUAUUGGUGUUGUAAUCUUCCUUCCCAUUUCAUCAAAUCUAUAAUCAGAUGAAAGAAAACGCGUUUCUAACUGUAGAUUAAUUAAUGGACUAGAAAUAAACAAAUCAUCUAGUCCUAGUGGUUUAAUAAGUCACACCACUUUUUUGGGUGUCCAAAUUUCUUUCAUCAGUGUAGCUGUUGUCACUCGUUAGAAACAUGGACGGGUAGGUCUGAAUGUCCGCUGAGAGAAGAUUAGCAGCUAGCCAGCUAUCUUUUGAACUUAAACCCUUUUCCAAUGCCUCUCAUCUCCUCUCUAUCUCUCUCUUCAAAUUCAAAUCUCCAUUUCCAUCUUUCUUUCUUCAUUUGAAUCUUGAUCUCUCUCACUCACCAAAGCCAUGUCCCUUACGCCUUUGAUGUUUAAGUCAUUGGUGAGGCUACUGACAUCUCUAAUUGGUGAGCCGGCAGCUUCAGUCACAACCUUGUUAUACUACAGUGAUCUUCUACCUCAGAAUAUCAUCCUAGAAAGAUUGGUUCAGCACCAAUUACUUGAUGAUGACAAUUAUUUGUUCCAUUUCCUCAUCAACUUCUUGAGAUGUUUUUGGUAGCGGAAAAAGCAAAUUUUGUUUUCAUUUGCCAGUAUCUUCGUGUUCUUCAUCUCCACCAUGUAUUUAUUGAAGGGUGAUUCCAAUUAUAUUAUUUUUCCUUGUUUUCUUUAAAUUUUACUAGUGGAUUAGAUAGUAUUUUUGAUGAUAAGUGGAUUAGAUAGUACUAAUCGUUAUUAAUUGGUGAGUGUAUUUAUGACUUGGAAUGGUAAUGGGAAUCGGAAAUACGUUUUUUCAA